GUGUCAGCCGCCGCGGUAAUACGGAGGGAGCUAGCGUUGUUCGGAAUUACUGGGCGUAAAGCGUACGUAGGCGGUUAUUCAAGUCAGAGGUGAAAGCCCGGGGCUCAACCCCGGAACUGCCUUUGAAACUAGAUAGCUAGAAUCUUGGAGAGGUCAGUGGAAUUCCGAGUGUAGAGGUGAAAUUCGUAGAUAUUCGGAAGAACACCAGUGGCGAAGGCGACUGACUGGACAAGUAUUGACGCUGAGGUACGAAAGCGUGGGGAGCAAACAGGAUUAGAAACCCCUGUAGUCC
Molecule: ribosomal RNA, 292 nt
Filed under: uncultured bacterium
Lineage: Bacteria
Description: partial 16S ribosomal RNA
Rfam family: Bacterial small subunit ribosomal RNA
Source: RNAcentral